ACUUUUCUCUGCCUAUAUCAUGCAUUUGUGCAUACCUUUGUAAUUUGUUUCUUCGAUGCACUGUUUGUAAUUUUUGUAGUUUUCUCUCAUUUAUUUUAGUUAUGUUUAGAAAACUAAUCACUGGGUCUGAAUCAUUUAUGAUGCAGAGUUGCCUUUCCCUCAUUAUAGCUCUUUAUUUUACCAAUGUGUUACAGUUUAUUAGAUCUCUUAAAUCGUUUUCAAUUAUUGCAUGAUUUGUUUGUAAAAUGUCAUUUAGGAAGCUUUCAAGGUUAAUUGUUUUUAAUGAAUAUUCCAUAUAUUAGCGAUCGGGUUUAGUUUUCAUUUUUUAUGAUUUUCUCCUAAAGUAUAUAUUUCAUCUUGAUUUUUGAGUUCUUUAUUCAUUAGGAUCUGGUUUGGUUAAUUGGUUGAUGUGCUAUCUAUGAUUGAGUCUCAUCAAAUUUAACCUCUUUCAUAUGGUACUAGUUAGUAAAUAGAUAUGAGUUUGUAGAUGUAUUUAAUUAGUAGUUACUAUUCUUCUUUAUAUUCUUGGCUACUCCUCAAUUUUCCAAGAAAAUUUGACUUGAUAGUGAUAGGCCUUUGAUCAUACAUAUAAAGUUGAUUUAUGAAAAGUAUGGGAAAACAUGAUUUGCUGUAAUAUUCAUUGUUAUAUAAUACAGCUUGAUUAAAUCCUGCAUGUUUGAAUUUGAUGUUGUCUGGUAUCAUUCUGCUUAAUUUUGUUUCCCUAUUUGACUCCAAUAACUUCCGCUUAAUUAUUGAAGCUAAUAGUUUUGUGUGUAACCAUAGUAAUUUCAGUUAAUGGAUGUUUUUUAUCGAUUUAUAUAAUUAGAAAAACUAAGCAAAUUAGUUACCAGUCAGAGAUAUCUUUGGAGUUUUUCUUCCCACUAAUCAUAGCAUAUAUACUAUACUAGUAAAGGGUACAUACACAUAUUAAGGAUUUACUAAAAAUAAAGAGGUGAUAAAUAUGUCUGUACAUUUCCUACUGUUUAUUAUUUUUCUAUUUUUCUUUCAUUUAGUUUGGUUAUGCCUAGACAACUUAUCACUAGAUCCAAAUAAUUUAUGAUGCAGAGUUGCUUAUUGUUCACUAUUGCUCUUUAUUUUAACAAGGCUCUACAGUUUAUUGGAUCUCUUAGAUUGUUUUCACUUGUAGCAUGAUUUGGUUUUAAAUGGUGACGUCCAUAUAUUAGUCUUUAAUGACCUUUCCAUAUAUUAAUGAUCUAGCUUGUUUGUUUGCUUUUUUUUUUUUUUUUUUUUUUAAUAAUGAUUUUCUCCUAAGGUACGUAUUUCAUCUUGUUCUUUGAGUUCUUCAUGCAUUAGGAUCUGGUUGGGUUUAUUGGUUUAUAUGCUAUCUAUGGUUGUCUCAUCAAAUUUAACAUCUUUUAUAUGGCACAGGUUAGUAAAUAGAUAUGAAUUGUAGAUGUAUAUAAUUAGCAGUUACUCUUCUUCUUAAUAUCUCUGGCUGCUCAUCCACUUUCCAAGAAAAUUCAACUUUACAGUGAUAAGCCUUUAGCCACACAUAUUAAGUUGGUUUAUGAAAGAUGGAACAACAUGAUUUGCUAUCACUUGAUUAAAUUCUGCUUGUUUGAAUUGGAUGCUGUCUGGUAUCAUUCUUUUUAAUUUUGUUUCUCUUUUAUAGUACAAUAACUUUCUCUUAAUUAUUAAAGCUAAUAGUUUUGUGCAUAAAUUAUACAUACAACAGACAUAAAAUUGAACUCGUUAUAUGCAGUUACUCAGAGAGAGCAGAUGCUAUUGAAGAUUUUGGCAGAGGCCGUGGAGAUGUAUUUAUAUAUUCUGAAGAUUUGGCAGAGAGUAACUAUGGAGACGCAGAAGCAAAAGAGCACAUGUUUAAGCAGGCACAAUUGUCAAAGACAAGGCAGCACCUGAUAGAAAUCCAAAUUUGAUAGAGGUAUCAGAGAUACUUAUCAAAAAAGAGAAGCUACCUAAGAACUAUUCAUGUCCACAAGUAGAGUGGUGAUUUUAAGUUUCAAAAGACCAAGAUCAUGUUUAAUGCAACGACAAGUUCAAUGCAACAUUCACCUCCCACUUACACCAUUGCCCACCAGCAUCGUCGUUACUCUUAGCUGCAUUUUUUUAUAUAUUUUAUUUUCUUAUAUUGUCAUUGUUUUAAUUGUGCAAUGGCUAUUAUAUGUAUGUAAUGACAUUAUUAUUUUAUAAAUAAUAUUUGAAAUUUUGGUAUUGU
Ziziphus jujuba (common jujube) is the source of this 2197-nucleotide long non-coding RNA. RefSeq lists it as uncharacterized. The transcript is spliced from 3 exons. The record is from RefSeq and is a predicted model, not a curated record. Lineage: Eukaryota; Viridiplantae; Streptophyta; Magnoliopsida; Rosales; Rhamnaceae.